AAAUGUGAUUAGGAAAGUUUCAGGUAUAAAUGAUGCAAAAUACAGCAAUUUAUGGCUUACUUGACGCAAAAGAAAGCUCACAAACGAGAUGGAAAGGAGCUGGACGCAUAAAGGACUAAAUCUGCUGCAUGGAAAAUCUGUCCCGGGCUAAAACAGCAUUUCUGAAGACUUUGGGACUUACAGACACAAAGCUGGAUUUUUGCCAUAAUACAUUAACCUAGUGCAAUUAGGUUAUGUGUUUCAUCAUUCUAUUUGGAUUAUAAUUUUGUAACCUUACCCUAGUACAAUUGGGUCAAGGAUUUCAUUAGUAUAUUAGGAUUUGGUUAUUUAUUAGUUUAGUAGGAGUAGGAUAGGAGUAUUAUAAAUACCCUAUCAUGUUAGAGAUUUUAAAAACAGAAGAAGAGAAGGGAGACAUUCUGACAAUUCAUUCAUCUCCUUACAAUUAAGACAUCUUCCUACAACCCAUUCUCAAUUCUUCAUUCUUCUACUCUUAAAUUCCACAACAAGAGAAUCGUUACUUGCUACGGAAUCACUAAAACCACACGCCAAACACCUACUAUUC
RNAcentral lists this long non-coding RNA (562 nucleotides) under Capsicum annuum. RNAcentral describes it as "long non-coding RNA (CANN_LNC009666)". The record is from RNAcentral. Lineage: Eukaryota; Viridiplantae; Streptophyta; Magnoliopsida; Solanales; Solanaceae.